This 908-nucleotide ribosomal RNA is filed under the name uncultured Campylobacteraceae bacterium. RNAcentral describes it as "bacterial SSU rRNA". It matches the Rfam family "Bacterial small subunit ribosomal RNA", at positions 38 to 960 of the family's 1533-position model. The record is from RNAcentral. Lineage: Bacteria; Pseudomonadati; Campylobacterota; Epsilonproteobacteria; Campylobacterales; Campylobacteraceae.
GGCGGCGUGCUUACACAUGCAAGUCGAACGAGAACGGAUAUUAGCUUGCUAAUAUUGUCAGCUAAGUGGCGCACGGGUGAGUAAUAUAUAGAUAACGUGCCUUCAAGAGGGGGAUAACAGUUGGAAACGACUGCUAAUACCCUAUAUGCCUUUAUAUCAAAAGAUAGCAAGGGAAAUAUUUAUAGCUUGAAGAUCGGUCUGUACAGUAUCAGUUAGUUGGUGAGGUAAUGGCUCACCAAGACAAUGACGCUUAACUGGUUCGAGAGGAUGAUCAGUCACACUGGAACUGAGACACGGUCCAGACUCCUACGGGAGGCAGCAGUGGGGAAUAUUGCACAAUGGAGGAAACUCUGAUGCAGCAACGCCGAGUGGAGGAUGACACAUUUCGGUGCGUAAACUCCUUUUAUAUUUGAAGAUAAUGACGGUAAAAUAUGAAUAAGCUCCGGCUAACUCCGUGCCAGCAGCCGCGGUAAUACGGGGGGAGCAAGCGUUACUCGGAAUCACUGGGCGUAAAGAGCAUGUAGGCUGGUANAAAAGUUGGAAGUGAAAUCCUAUGGCUUAACCAUAGAACUGCUUCCAAAACUCUCUACCUAGAAUAUGGGAGAGGUAGAUGGAAUUUCUGGUGUAGGGGUAAAAUCCGUAGAGAUCAGAAGGAAUACCGAUUGCGAAGGCGAUCUACUGGAACAUUAUUGACGCUGAGAUGCGAAAGCGUGGGGAGCAAACAGGAUUAGAUACCCUGGUAGUCCACGCCCUAAACGAUGUACACUAGUUGUUGCUAUACUACAUAUAGCAGUAAUGCAGUUAACACAUUAAGUGUACCGCCUGGGGAGUACGGUCGCAAGAUUAAAACUCAAAGGAAUAGACGGGGACCCGCACAGCGGUGGACCAUGUGGUUAAUUCGACGAUAC